CUGGUGUUAGUAUAUAAGUGCCGACAGACUUGAAGAGCUUAUCACUUGUGAAAACUCGUGCAACUCAAAUCAUUACAAUGUUCUUCAGAGUGUUCUUGCUCUUCGCCCUUGUGGCUGCCGCUUUCGCAAGCCCCAAACCUGAGCCACAGGUCUUCGGCUAUGCUGCUCCUGCAGUGUCUUAUGGCUACACCGGCUACACUGGAUAUACUCCCUAUGCCUACUCUGCACCCUAUGCACCCUAUGCUUACUCCUCGGGCUACUACGUUCGUUAAUUCGACGUGUGAUCCUUAUAACGACUGUACGCAUUGCUAAAACAACAUGAAACCGAUA
Molecule: long non-coding RNA, 330 nt
Organism: Hyposmocoma kahamanoa
Lineage: Eukaryota; Metazoa; Arthropoda; Insecta; Lepidoptera; Cosmopterigidae
Exons: 2
Source: RefSeq, a predicted model, not a curated record